UCUUAAAAAAUUGCAAAAUAACCCUUUUUCGGGUUAAAAUUGAAAAAAGAUGUUACAUAAAAAUAGUUUGUAAGAUUUUCUAACAGCAUAUAUGAAAAGUAUUUUGAUUUAUUUGAAAAUAAUUGAAAAUAGAUUUUUCAAGGACGGUGUCGAGGUCACGGGGUCGGUGUCGUUUUUCGAAAUUUGUUAACUUAAUAUAAUAGAAGAUGUUUCGUUUUAAAUUAAGAAAUGUUAAAAUUAUUAAGUUAAAAACAUUUGAUUUUAAUGACACUUAAAAUUAGACACAAUAUUAUAGGUUUCUAACUAAAAAUUGAAAAAACAACAAUAAAUAAUAAAAAAUAAUAAUAAAAAAUUGAAAAAAUCAAAAAAUUCUUAAAAAAUUGCAAAAUAACCCUUUUUCGGGUUAAAAUUGAAAAAAGAUGUUACAUAAAAAUAGUUUGUAAGAUUUUCUAACAGCAUAUAUGAAAAGUAUUUUGAUUUAUUUGAAAAUAAUUGAAAAUAGAUUUUUCAAGGACGGUGUCGAGGUCACGGGGUCGGUGUCGUUUUUCGAAAUUUGUUAACUUAAUAUAAUAGAAGAUGUUUCGUUUUAAAUUAAGAAAUGUUAAAAUUAUUAAGUUAAAAACAUUUGAUUUUAAUGACACUUAAAAUUAGACACAAUAUUAUAGGUUACUAACUAAAAAUUGAAAAAACAACAAUAAAUAAUAAAAAGUUGAAAAAAUCAAAAAAUUCUUAAAAAAUUGCAAAAUAACCCUUUUUCGGGUUAAAAUUGAAAAAAGAUGUUACAUAAAAAUAGUUUGUAAGAUUUUCUAACAGCAUAUAUGCAAAGUAUUUUGAUUUAUUUGAAAAUAAUUGAAAAUAGAUUUUUCAAGGACGGUGUCGAGGUCACGGGGUCGGUGUCGUUUUCGAAAUUUGUUAACUUAAUAUAAUAGAAGAUGUUUCGUUUUAAAUUAAGAAAUGUUAAAAUUAUUAAGUUAAAAACAUUUGAUUUUAAUGACACUUAAAAUUAGACACAAUAUUAUAGGUUUCUAACUAAAAAUUGAAAAAACAACAAUAAAUAAUAAAAAGUUGAAAAAAUCAAAAAAUUCUUAAAAAAUUGCAAAAUAACCCUUUUUCGGGUUAAAAUUGAAAAAAGAUGUUACAUAAAAAUAGUUUGUAAGAUUUUCUAACAGCAUAUAUGAAAAGUAUUUUGAUUUAUUUGAAAAUAAUUAAAAAUAGAUUUUUCAAGGACGGUGUCGAGGUCACGGGGUCGGUGUCGUUUUUCGAAAUUUGUUAACUUAAUAUAAUAGAAGAUGUUUCGUUUCAAAUUAAGAAAUGUUAAAAUUAUUAAGUUAAAAACAUUUGAUUUUAAUGACACUUAAAAUUAGACACAAUAUUAUAGGUUUCUAACUAAAAAUUGAAAAAACAACAAUAAAUAAUAAAAAAUAAUAAUAAAAAAUUGAAAAAAUCAAAAAAUUCUUAAAAAAUUUCAAAAUAACCCUUUUUCGGGUUAAAAUUGAAAAAAGAUGUUACAUAAAAAUAGUUUGUAAGAUUUUCUAACAGCAUAUAUGAAAAGUAUUUUGAUUUAUUUGAAAAUAAUUGAAAAUAGAUUUUUCAAGGACGGUGUCGAGGUCACGGGGUCGGUGUCGUUUUUCGAAAUUUGUUAACUUAAUAUAAUAGAAGAUGUUUCGUUUUAAAUUAAGAAAUGUUAAAAUUAUUAAGUUAAAAACAUUUGAUUUUAAUGACACUUAAAAUUAGACACAAUAUUAUAGGUUACUAACUAAAAAUUGAAAAAACAACAAUAAAUAAUAAAAAGUUGAAAAAAUCAAAAAAUUCUUAAAAAAUUGCAAAAUAACCCUUUUUCGGGUUAAAAUUGAAAAAAGAUGUUACAUAAAAAUAGUUUGUAAGAUUUUCUAACAGCAUAUAUGCAAAGUAUUUUGAUUUAUUUGAAAAUAAUUGAAAAUAUAUUUUUCAAGGACGGUGUCGAGGUCACGGGGUCGGUGUCGUUUUUCGAAAUUUGUUAACUUAAUAUAAUAGAAGAUGUUUCGUUUUAAAUUAAGAAAUGUUAAAAUUAUUAAGUUACAAACAUUUGAUUUUAAUGACACUUAAAAUUAGACACAAUA
Molecule: long non-coding RNA, 2099 nt
Organism: Leptopilina boulardi
Lineage: Eukaryota; Metazoa; Arthropoda; Insecta; Hymenoptera; Figitidae
Exons: 5
Source: RefSeq, a predicted model, not a curated record